Molecule: ribosomal RNA, 255 nt
Filed under: uncultured bacterium
Lineage: Bacteria
Description: partial 16S ribosomal RNA
Rfam family: Bacterial small subunit ribosomal RNA
Source: RNAcentral
UACGAAGGGUGCAAGCGUUACUCGGAAUCACUGGGCGUAAAGCGUGCGUAGGCGGUUCGUUAAGUCUGCUGUGAAAGCCCUGGGCUCAACCUGGGAACUGCAGUGGAUACUGGCGGACUAGAGUGUGAUAGAGGAUGGUGGAAUUCCCGGGUGUAGCGGUGAAAUGCGUAGAGAUCGGGAGGAACACCAGUGGCGAAGGCGGCCAUCUGGAUCAACACUGACGCUGAGGCACGAAAGCGUGGGGAGCAAACAGGG